This 253-nucleotide ribosomal RNA is filed under the name uncultured bacterium. RNAcentral describes it as "partial 16S ribosomal RNA". It matches the Rfam family "Bacterial small subunit ribosomal RNA", at positions 524 to 776 of the family's 1533-position model. The record is from RNAcentral.
UACGGAGGGUGCAAGCGUUAUCCGGAUUCACUGGGUUUAAAGGGUGUGUAGGCGGACUUUUAAGUCAGUGGUGAAAUCUCUGAGCUCAACUCAGAAACUGCCAUUGAUACUAUUGGUCUUGAAUGUUGUGGAGGUGGGCGGAACGGGUCAUGUAGCGGUGAAAUGCUUAGAGAUGACCCGGAACACCGAUUGCGAAGGCAGCCCACUACGCAACUAUUGACGCUGAGGCACGAAAGCGUGGGGAUCAAACAGG